This 677-nucleotide long non-coding RNA is filed under the name Olea europaea (common olive). RNAcentral's name for it is "long non-coding RNA (OEUR_LNC000810)". The record is from RNAcentral. Lineage: Eukaryota; Viridiplantae; Streptophyta; Magnoliopsida; Lamiales; Oleaceae.
AUCGAUCACCUAGUUGCAAAAAUCUAGCCUAUCAUGAUAAAAAUAACGAAAACUAACAAAAUAAAACUAAAAUACAUCACCGGGUUAUCAAAUGUUGAAGAAUUCUCGUAAAUCUCGCAUCAAUUGCUUGUUCUUGCCUUCAAUUCCACUCCAAGAAUGAAUGAUUUUGCCUCCCAAGUCGUUCUUGCGGCUUCUGGACGUCUUGUUGCUAUUUAAACCCGUCCAAAUUAGGUUACCAAAGGAGUUGCAAUCGUAUAAGGAAAGUGCAAAAUUCGGGAAAAUUUAUACCUAUGUGAUCGCAUAGGCAUAACCUAUGCGACCGCAUAGGUUUAAGGAAAACGUCCUUUUUAAUCCCUGGAGGUUCACUCGCGGUCGCAUAGGUUUUAUACUAUGCGACCGCAUAGUGGAGUUACUUUCUUGUUUGAGUCAUUUUGGUCCUCAAGUUUCAUUCCUUCACUCCUUGACCUUCUCUCUUGUUCCUAGUUGCUCCAAUGGUCCCUUAUAACUUCCAAUUGGUGCUUGGCUUGAUCAAUUGCUUGAUGUGUUCAUCGGAUCAACUUUCAGAUAAUUGUAAUUUGGUCCCUAAAUUUUCUCUUUGCUUCAAUUUGGUCCUUUUUCGGCUCUUUUCUCCUGAAUUCCACUAUUUCCAUAGAAUUUCCUACAUUGCAUGAAUUUGA